Molecule: ribosomal RNA, 495 nt
Filed under: uncultured bacterium
Lineage: Bacteria
Description: partial 16S ribosomal RNA
Rfam family: Bacterial small subunit ribosomal RNA
Source: RNAcentral
GACGAACGCUGGCGGCGUGCCUAAUACAUGCAAGUAGAACGCUGAAGGAGGAGCUUGCUUCUCUGGAUGAGUUGCGAACGGGUGAGUAACGCGUAGGUAACCUGCCUGGUAGCGGGGGAUAACUAUUGGAAACGAUAGCUAAUACCGCAUAAUAGCAGUUAUUGCAUGAUAACUGUUUGAAAGGUGCAAUUGCACCACUACCAGAUGGACCUGCGUUGUAUUAGCUAGUUGGUGGGGUAACGGCUCACCAAGGCGACGAUACAUAGCCGACCGGAGAGGGGGAUCGGCCACACUGGGACUGAGACACGGCCCAGACUCCUACGGGAGGCAGCAGUAGGGAAUCUUCGGCAAUGGACGGAAGUCUGACCGAGCAACGCCGCGUGAGUGAAGAAGGUUUUCGGAUCGUAAAGCUCUGUUGUAAGAGAAGAACGAGUGUGAGAGUGGAAAGUUCACACUGUGACGGUAUCUUACCAGAAAGGGACGGCUAACUACGUG